GAAUGGCAGUUUCGUAAAUAAGUCAAAAGUGAGGGUGCAUUCUAAACCCUCUUUUGUGUCUCCUUUAGGUUCCACGUGUGCUGCUUUUUCUCCCACAAAAUUACUUUUUUGGUUCUUUUCUCUCUCUUGCUCUCUGGUUCUCUCCUCCUACUGCCUCAGCUGUGUUGGACCAAACAAUUGAAGGAUCAAGUAUGAAUUUUGACUGUUGAGAAAGAGGAGGGCCAGGGAAGAAGUUGAAAGAGACAAAGCUUUCUAUGAAGUGAAGAAGGAGCUUAUGCGUGGAAUUUAGUAAGAAGACUUGAAAAGUCACUAUUCCGUGGACACAAGUAAUCUACUGUCUUUAAGGAGAAAAUAUUCAAGCUCGAGUUACUGCAUAUUGACGAGAAACCUUCUCAUGUCAAAAUCGGAAAAUGUAUAAAAUUGCAAUCUUUCACAAUUGCUUGUGAAAGCAAGGAGCUUUUCUUUUGGUUAUUGCUCUAAAUCACUACCGAUAAUUGUCUGUGUAGUCUUCUUUUCCCCUUUUCAAGAUCUCUUAGAAGUCUGCGCUGAUUUCUUCUGUUUUUGGGACUGAUGGCUUAUGAACAUUUAAGUACUCUUCACACUUGCUUAAUCUAUUAAGAAUUUACUUUGCGUACAA
Lycium barbarum (goji berry) is the source of this 637-nucleotide long non-coding RNA. RefSeq lists it as uncharacterized. The record is from RefSeq and is a predicted model, not a curated record. NCBI's taxonomy places the organism in Eukaryota, Viridiplantae, Streptophyta, Magnoliopsida, Solanales, Solanaceae. The transcript is spliced from 4 exons.